RNAcentral lists this ribosomal RNA (506 nucleotides) under uncultured bacterium. RNAcentral's name for it is "partial 16S ribosomal RNA". It matches the Rfam family "Bacterial small subunit ribosomal RNA", at positions 29 to 523 of the family's 1533-position model. The record is from RNAcentral.
AGUGGACGCUGGCGGUAGGCCUAACACAUGCAAGUCGAACGGCAGCACAGGAGAGCUUGCUCUCUGGGUGGCGAGUGGCGGACGGGUGAGGAAUACAUCGGAAUCUACUCUGUCGUGAGGGAUAACGUAGGGAAACUUACGCUAAUACCGCAUACGACCUACGGGUGAAAGCAGGGGAUCUUCGGACCUUGCGCGAUUGAAUGAGCCGAUGUCGGAUUAGCUAGUUGGCGGGGUAAAGGCCCACCAAGGCGACGAUCCGUAGCUGGUCUGAGAGGAUGAUCAGCCACACUGGAACUGAGACACGGUCCAGACUCCUACGGGAGGCAGCAGUGGGGAAUAUUGGACAAUGGGCGCAAGCCUGAUCCAGCCAUACCGCGUGGGUGAAGAAGGCCUUCGGGUUGUAAAGCCCUUUUGUUGGGAAAGAAAUCCAGCUGGCUAAUACCCGGUUGGGAUGACGGUACCCAAAGAAUAAGCACCGGCUAACUUCGUGCCAGCCGCCGCCGUAA